Molecule: long non-coding RNA, 308 nt
Filed under: Carica papaya (papaya)
Lineage: Eukaryota; Viridiplantae; Streptophyta; Magnoliopsida; Brassicales; Caricaceae
Description: long non-coding RNA (CPAP_LNC010281)
Source: RNAcentral
CAAGCAGCACAUGUCAUUCCCGUCACAGUCAAUUGAAUUCUCCUCAUACCCUCUUCGACUUUUACAAAAUUAUCGCUGUUUCCGUCUUCAUAUGAGUCCAAAAGCCGCACCUCCUCCAUGUCACCGGAAUCUUCGAUGGUCGCCGGCGGUACUCUACCACCGGCGACCGCUGUCAGCUGCAGGUGCCUCCCGCUCGGCGCCAUUGACUUGGGCACACCGAGCCGAGAUGGAUACGGCAAAAUUUCUCUCUCUAUAAUCUUAAAAUGUAGAUUUAUAAAGACAGAGAGAAGGAAAGAGGAAAAGAAAAG